GACGAACGCUGGCGGCGUGCUUAACACAUGCAAGUCGAACGAGAAUCUACUGAAAGAGUUUUCGGACAAUGGAAGUAGAGGAAAGUGGCGGACGGGUGAGUAACGCGUGAGGAACCUGCCUUGAAGAGGGGGACAACAGUUGGAAACGACUGCUAAUACCGCAUGAAGCAUAGGGGUCGCAUGAUUCUUAUGCCAAAGAUUUAUCGCUUCAAGAUGGCCUCGCGUCUGAUUAGCUGGUUGGCGGGGUAACGGCCCACCAAGGCGACGAUCAGUAGCCGGACUGAGAGGUAGAACGGCCACAUUGGGACUGAGAUACGGACCAGACUCCUACGGGAGGCAGCAGUGGGGAAUAUUGGGCAAUGGGCGCAAGCCUGACACAGCAACGCCGCGUGAAGGAAGAAGGCUUUCGGGUUGUAAACUUCUUUUAAGAGGGAAGAGCAGAAGACGGUACCUCUAGAAUAAGCCACGGCUAACUACGUG
RNAcentral lists this ribosomal RNA (480 nucleotides) under uncultured bacterium. Its description in RNAcentral is "partial 16S ribosomal RNA". It matches the Rfam family "Bacterial small subunit ribosomal RNA", at positions 28 to 507 of the family's 1533-position model. The record is from RNAcentral.